RNAcentral lists this ribosomal RNA (500 nucleotides) under uncultured bacterium. Its description in RNAcentral is "partial 16S ribosomal RNA". It matches the Rfam family "Bacterial small subunit ribosomal RNA", at positions 29 to 523 of the family's 1533-position model. The record is from RNAcentral.
AUUGAACGCUGGCGGCAUGCCUUACACAUGCAAGUCAAACGGCAGCACGGGAGCAAUCCUGGUGGCGAGUGGCGAACGGGUGAGUAAAGUAUCGGAACGUGCCCAGUCGCGGGGGAUAACGUAGCGAAAGUUACGCUAAUACCGCAUACGAUCUAUGGAUGAAAGCGGGGGAUCGCAAGACCUCGCGCGAUUGGAGCGGCCGAUAUCAGAUUAGGUAGUUGGGGGGGUAAAGGCUCACCAAGCCGACGAUCUGUAGCUGGUCUGAGAGGACGACCAGCCAGACUGGGACUGAGACACGGCACAGACUCCUACGGGAGGCAGCAGUGGGGAAUUUUGGGCAAUGGGCGAAAGCCUGAUCCAGCCAUGCCGCGUGCAGGAUGAAGGCCUUCGGGUUGUAAACUGCUUUUGUACGGAACGAAAAGGUUUGGGCUAAUAAGCUGAGCUCAUGACGGUACCGUAAGAAUAAGCACCGGCUAACUACGUGCCAGCCGCCGCGGUAA